GUGGGUGUAGCUCAGUUGGUUAGAGCACUAGGUUGUGGUCCUAGGGGCCGCGGGUUCGAAUCCCGUCAUCCACC
Molecule: transfer RNA, 74 nt
Filed under: Planctomycetota bacterium
Lineage: Bacteria; Pseudomonadati; Planctomycetota
Description: tRNA-His
Rfam family: tRNA
About the family: Transfer RNA (tRNA) molecules are approximately 80 nucleotides in length. Their secondary structure includes four short double-helical elements and three loops (D, anti-codon, and T loops). Further hydrogen bonds mediate the characteristic L-shaped molecular structure. tRNAs have two regions of fundamental functional importance: the anti-codon, which is responsible for specific mRNA codon recognition, and the 3' end, to which the tRNAs corresponding amino acid is attached (by aminoacyl-tRNA synthetases). tRNAs cope with the degeneracy of the genetic code in two manners: having more than one tRNA (with a specific anti-codon) for a particular amino acid; and 'wobble' base-pairing, i.e. permitting non-standard base-pairing at the 3rd anti-codon position.
Source: RNAcentral